AUUGAACGCUGGCGGCAGGCUUAACACAUGCAAGUCGAACGAGGGGCGGAGGGGUGGGUAAUGCUGGGAAACCUGGCUUAUGGGGGGGGAUAACUAGGGGAAACGGUAGCAAAAACCGCUUACAAUAGGAUGGGCCCAGGUGGGUUUAGGUAGUUGGUGAGGGAAAGGCUCACCAAGCCGACGAUCUCUAGCUGGUCUGAGAGGAUGAUCAGCCACACUGGGACUGAGACACGGCCCAGACUCCUACGUGAGGCAGCAGUGGGGAAUAUUGCACAAUGGGCGCAAGCCUGAUGCAGCCAUGCCGCGUGUAUGAAGAAGGCCUUAGGGUUGUAAAGUACUUUCAGCGGGGAGGCGUUACCCGCAGAAGAAGCACCGGCUAACUCCGUGCCAGCAGCCGCGGUAAUUC
This 406-nucleotide ribosomal RNA is filed under the name uncultured bacterium. RNAcentral describes it as "partial 16S ribosomal RNA". It matches the Rfam family "Bacterial small subunit ribosomal RNA", at positions 29 to 526 of the family's 1533-position model. The record is from RNAcentral.